AAUGAACGCUGGCGGCAGGCCUAACACAUGCAAGUCGAACGCACCGCAAGGUGAGUGGCAGACGGGUGAGUAACGCGUGGGAACCUUCCCUUUGGUUCAGGAUAGCCCCGGGAAACUGGGAUUAAUACUGGAUAAGAUCUACGGAUGAAAGAUUUAUCGCCGAAGGAUGGGCCCGCGUAAGAUUAGCUAGUUGGUGAGGUAAUGGCUCACCAAGGCUUUGAUCUUUAGCUGGUCUGAGGGGAUGAUCAGCCACACUGGAACUGAGACACGGUCCAGACUCCUACGGGAGGCAGCAGUGAGGAAUAUUGGACAAUGGGCGCAAGCCUGAUCCAGCCAUGCCGCGUGAGUGAUGAAGGCCUUAGGGUUGUAAAACUCUUUUAGUGGGGAAAAUAAUGAUGGUACCCACAGAAAAAGCUCCGGCUAACUUCGUGCCAGCCGCCGCAGUAA
This 447-nucleotide ribosomal RNA is filed under the name uncultured bacterium. Its description in RNAcentral is "partial 16S ribosomal RNA". It matches the Rfam family "Bacterial small subunit ribosomal RNA", at positions 29 to 523 of the family's 1533-position model. The record is from RNAcentral.